RNAcentral lists this ribosomal RNA (258 nucleotides) under uncultured soil bacterium. RNAcentral describes it as "partial 16S ribosomal RNA". It matches the Rfam family "Bacterial small subunit ribosomal RNA", at positions 26 to 285 of the family's 1533-position model. The record is from RNAcentral.
AGGACGAACGCUGGCGGCGUGCUUAACACAUGCAAGUCGAACGGUGAUCCGGUGCUUGCACCGGUGAUCAGUGGCGAACGGGUGAGUAACACGUGAGUAACCUGCCCCCGACUCUGGGAUAACCCCGGGAAAUCGGAGCUAAUACCGGAUACGAGACGCACAGGCAUCUGUUGCGUCUAGGGAAAGUAAUUUCGGGUCGGGGAUGGACUCGCGGCCUAUCAGCUAGUGGUGGGUAAUGGCCCACAGGCGACGACGGUA